This 201-nucleotide unclassified non-coding RNA is filed under the name Hevea brasiliensis (rubber tree). The record is from RNAcentral. Lineage: Eukaryota; Viridiplantae; Streptophyta; Magnoliopsida; Malpighiales; Euphorbiaceae.
GUUUUCCAGGAGGGAUAGCUUCAUUACACAUAGAGCUUUCUGUGAUGCAUUGGCAGAGGAAAGUGCAAAAUCUCAGCCUAAGCCAGUGGAUUCUCAGCCUAAACCGGAUUUAGACGCCAACCCUGAUGGCGAUUCUCAGUCGGCGGCGGUAAAACCGAAUCCAGAGCCUUCUCCACCGCCUCUGCCAUCAUCACCACCGGC